This 792-nucleotide small RNA is filed under the name Pan troglodytes (chimpanzee). RNAcentral describes it as "processed transcript". Lineage: Eukaryota; Metazoa; Chordata; Mammalia; Primates; Hominidae. The record is from RNAcentral.
CGGAGCGCGCGCCCGGCUUUGAAUGAGCGGGGCUGGGAGUGAACGGGCGGAGCGCGAGCUCGAGGAAGAGACAGGCAGCGCGCGUGAGCGCGCCUUGUGUGCGCGCGCGGCCCGCGGCAGCUCGGAGCCUCCGCCGGGCGGGCGGGGAGGGGGAGGGGCAGGUUUUGAUUCCCACCAUGGCCAUCACCCAGUUUCGGUUAUUUAAAUUUUGUACCUGCCUAGCAACAGUAUUCUCAUUCCUAAAGAGAUUAAUAUGCAGAUCUGGAAGAGGACGGAAAUUAAGUGGAGACCAAAUAACUUUGCCAACUACAGUUGAUUAUUCAUCAGUUCCUAAGCAGACAGAUGUUGAAGAGUGGACUUCCUGGGAUGAAGAUGCACCCACCAGUGUAAAGAUCGAAGGAGGGAAUGGGAAUGUGGCAACACAACAAAAUUCUUUGGAACAAUUGGAACCUGACUAUUUUAAGGACAUGACACCAACUAUUAGGAAAACUCAGAAAAUUGUUAUUAAGAAGAGAGAACCAUUGAAUUUUGGCAUCCCAGAUGGGAGCACAGGUUUCUCUAGUAGAUUAGCAGCUACACAAGAUCUGCCUUUUAUUCAUCAGUCUACAAGUCAUUGGGUUGGGGCUACAAUCAUCUGAAGGCUUGACUGUGGUCGAAGGAUUCAUUUCAAAGACAGCUCACUUCUACACCUGACAAAUUAAUGCUGUUUGUUUGCACAAAGCCUCAGUUCCUUGCUGUGCACCUCUCCAAGGAGCUGCUUGAAUUUCUUUAUGAUGUAACUCCUGAUUUUCC